CUCCGGAGGAAAGCGGGGCUCGGCUCUUUUUAGGGCCUACCCCUGUUUUCCGGGGAAUCUAGGGACUGCGCAAUCCACCCACCCCAAACCCCACCGCCAUCGCGCCUGGGGGGAGGGGAUGAUCGGCUCAAUUUUGUAUUCAAUCGAUUUGAGGAAAGUGGACCUGACUGGUUUCCCAUCAUGGCUCCCUCUUCAGCCCGAACAAAUCCUUCAUCUUCUCUUUCGCCAUGACAAAACGGAGUACAUAAGGAGCGCCCCUACCGGCUCAGGCUGAAGAUCAUUCUAGUCCACCAUCCUGCGUCCUUCAAAGUCUCACUAGAUGCCUGCUUGAGGGUUGUCACUUUUCCCUUUGUUGCAGGCAACCCACGGCUUCCACACUGGGAAGGAGCUGGUGGCCCAUCUAGCAAACAGCCAUUAGCCUUAUUCUCUGCUAAGAAGGCUGCAGAUACGACUCGUUCAAAGUCCACAGCAUAAGCCCUCGCCGCCCUGUUUGAUGAACCUUUUUGGGUUUUCGUAGUAGAUUUUCUUUGUGUGCCUUGUGAGAAGGCUUGACUUCCUUUUCCACGCAGGACCUAGUGAUGUCCAAGGAAGCAGUUGUGGAUUUCACCUAGGUGGAGUGGAUGUUGCUGGUUCCUGACCAGAGAAUCCUACACAGGGAAGCGAUGGAGGAGAAAUGUGGGAUCGUGGCCUCUCUUGUUCCAACUUCACCUGGAUUGUGUCCUGAUCUCUGCAUUGCAAGACAAGACAGUCCCGAAGCCUGAAA
This is a non-coding RNA of Pogona vitticeps (central bearded dragon), 763 nucleotides long. The record is from RefSeq and is a predicted model, not a curated record. NCBI's taxonomy places the organism in Eukaryota, Metazoa, Chordata, Lepidosauria, Squamata, Agamidae.